CCCAGUAAACGGCGGCCGUAACUAUAACGGUCCUAAGGUAGCGAAAUUCCUUGUCGGGUAAGUUCCGACCCGCACGAAAGGCGUAACGAUUUGGGCACUGUCUCAACGAGAGACUCGGUGAAAUCAUAGUACCUGUGAAGAUGCAGGUUACCCGCGACAGGACGGAAAGACCCCGUGGAGCUUUACUGUAGCCUGAUAUUGAAAUUCGGCACAGCUUGUACAGGAUAGGUAGGAGCCUUUGAAACGUGAGCGCUAGCUUACGUGGAGGCGCUGGUGGGAUACUACCCUAGCUGUGUUGGCUUUCUAACCCGCACCACUUAUCGUGGUGGGAGACAGUGUCAGGCGGGCAGUUUGACUGGGGCGGUCGCCUCCUAAAAGGUAACGGAGGCGCUCAAAGGUUCCCUCAGAAUGGUUGGAAAUCAUUCAUAGAGUGUAAAGGCAUAAGGGAGCUUGACUGCGAGACCUACAAGUCGAGCAGGGUCGAAAGACGGACUUAGUGAUCCGGUGGUUCCGCAUGGAAGGGCCAUCGCUCAACGGAUAAAAGCUACCCCGGGGAUAACAGGCUUAUCUCCCCCAAGAGUUCACAUCGACGGGGAGGUUUGGCACCUCGAUGUCGGCUCAUCGCAUCCUGGGGCUGUAGUCGGUCCCAAGGGUUGGGCUGUUCGCCCAUUAAAGCGGUACGCGAGCUGGGUUCAGAACGUCGUGAGACAGUUCGGUCCCUAUCCGUCGUGGGCGUAGGAAAUUUGAGAGGAGCUGUCCUUAGUACGAGAGGACCGGGAUGGACAUACCUCUGGUGUACCAGUUGUCGUGCCAACGGCAUAGCUGGGUAGCUAUGUGUGGACGGGAUAAGUGCUGAAAGCAUCUAAGCAUGAAGCCCCCCUCAAGAUGAGAUUUCCCAACUUCGGUUAUAAGAUCCCUCAAAGAUGAUGAGGUUAAUAGGUUCGAGGUGGAAGCAUGGUGACAUGUGGAGCUGACGAAUACUAAUCGAUCGAAGACUUAAUCAAAA
RNAcentral lists this ribosomal RNA (1006 nucleotides) under Staphylococcus aureus. Its description in RNAcentral is "partial 23S ribosomal RNA". It matches the Rfam family "Bacterial large subunit ribosomal RNA", at positions 1919 to 2925 of the family's 2925-position model. Lineage: Bacteria; Bacillati; Bacillota; Bacilli; Caryophanales; Staphylococcaceae. The record is from RNAcentral.